CUUUAUCAAUCUUAACAUCAAAAAAGAGAGAAAACCAGAAUGUCUCAAGCUUCCUGACAUGACACAACAGGAAGCACAAAGCACCACCCGUAUUUAAACAGAACCUGAAUCUAAUCCAGCAAGUAAACCUAACUAUAACUUACAAGUAUGAAUGACAGUGAAAUACAGCAAAUGAUACCAUGAGAAAGGCAAUCAACCAAAUCUAGAAUAUGGGAUAUGUAAGACAAAUGACCUUUCAACAAAUGACUGUUUUUUUGAAAGGGAGGGGAGAGUUAUUGUUCUAGAUUAAAAUAAUGAGACAUAACCAUCAACUUAUGGAGAUAUAACAACCAAUUAUUUGGUGUGAACCUUAACUGGAUCUAUACUCAAAUAAACCAAACACAAAGACUUCUUUUGGAUAAUGGGGGAAAUGUGAAUGCGGACUGGGUAUCAGAUAUUAUGUUAUGAGGUUUUGUGUGACAUGGCACUGCGAUGACUUCUUCUGUUUACGUGUUUUAAAUAGAGAUGCACACUAAGAUUGGGUAUCAGAUAUUAUGUUAUGAGGUUUUGUGUGACAUGGCACUGCGAUGACUUCUUCUGUUUACGUGUUUUAAAUAGAGAUGCACACUAAGAUAUUUACAGAUGAAACAGUAAGUCUGGAAUGUGCCUUAAAAAAACUCAUAGAGGGUGUGGCAGCUCACACCUGUAAUCCCAGCACUUUCGGAGGCUGAGACAGGCAGAUUGCUAGAGCUCAGGAGUUCAAGAUCAGCCUGGACAACAUGGCAAAAUCCCACCUCUAGAAACCUCCCCCAAACCCCCGCGUGUGCGCGCGUAUGCACACACACACACACGCACACAAAAUCAGCUAGGCAUGGUGGCACACGCCUGUAGUCCUUGCCACUCAGCAGGCUGAGGUGGGAGGAUCACUUGAGCCCAGAAGUUCAGCUUGCGCAACACAGUGAGAUCCCCUCUCUUAAAAAACAUCAGAAAAAUACUCAGAGUAAUGACAUGUAAGAGACACAUAAGGAACCCGGAAGUUACUUUGUGCAUGACUGAAAACAUUCUAGUGUUUUCUAAAGUAACUUGCCUUGAUUUAUAUAUGCUCCUACAAAUAUAGAAACAAAGGACCAAACUAAAGAGGAUUAAAAGUAAUAAGAGGGUAGAAAAAGCAGAGAAUUUAGGGAUUCAGGAAAAACAGGUUCCAAUAUAAACUAACUACAUGGUCUUAGGCAAGCCAUUCAACCUCUCAAGUAUGUUUCCUCAUGUUAAAACAAGGUUAAGCCCAGGUGUGGUGGCUCACGCCUGUAAUCCCAGCACUUUGGGAGGCUGAGGCGGGUGGAUCACGAGGUCAGGUAUUCGAGACCAGCCUGGCCAACAUGGUGAAACCCCAUCUCUACUAAAAAUACAACACUUAGGCAGGAGUGGUGGCAGGCGCCUGUAAUCCCAGCUACUCAGAAGGCUAAGGCAGGAGCAUCAGUUGAACCCAGGAGGCGGAGGUUGCAGUGAGCCAAGACUGUGCCAUUGUACUCCAGCCUGGGUGACAGGAUGAGACUCCGUCUCAAAAAACAAACAAACAAACAAAAAAACCGCACAAGGUUAACUCCCAUCUCAUAGGAUUAUGGAAAAUUUAAAUUAAGUAAGAUUGAAAGUGCUCUCAUUUCAUUCACCAAUUUGAAAGCCAUUUAUUAAGUAGCCAUUAGGUAGCACACACAUAAUAUACAUAAAAGAGCAUUACUGUGAUUAAAAAUGAAAUGAGUAAUCAAAUUCCAAUUCAAUCUAAUUUAAACUUACCAUAUGGGCUAAAAAAGUCACACGUUUUAAGAGAGGCUUCAUAAUUAGUAACAAGUUCCUGGAUUAUAGAAACCUGUUAAAGAAACAUAUUUUUAAAAUUUAAAAAUAUCUUCUUGAAGGUAUUUUUACCUAUUAUGGUUUAAAUUACAUUUGGAAAAUAUACAGCUUAUUUCAGAACUAUAAAUUAAUUAAAAGACUAGGGUAUCUGCUUUGUCCCCAUUCCUAACAUGAGUAUUUCCCCGCUUUGGAGAAGGGGUGGAAAAAAACACAAAAUAAUGGACAUUGCUAUAUAUAUGGACCACUCACAAGACAAAAAAAAAAAAAAAAAAAUGGACCACUCCUAUAAGGGACACAUUAUAUAAAUAUUCAGAUUUUCUAAAAUGUCAUGCAUUGCAAAAAAGUGAAAUGAUUCAAGGUUUGAAAAUAAGUGAAAUUAAAAAUGACUCUUUUGCUUAUUAUUGUUAGCAAUCCUACAAUAUAAUAAUUGUAUUGUACUUACUAUAAUUACGGGGUUUCUUAACCAAUUUACUUAUCUACCUACUACAAAAUAAGGUCUGGUGCUCACUUCAGCAGCACGUAUACCAAAAUUGGAACAGUAAGAGAUUGGCAUGGCGCCUGUGAAAGGAUGACACACACAUUCAUGAAGCGUUCUAUAUUUUAAAAGGAAUAUUUCUUCAUUGUUUUGUGAAAACUGGGGCUUUGACAUCUUUAUUUUCAGAAAAACAAUUAUAUUUCUCUUAUUUCCCUACGCCUCUUUACAAACUAACCAAAAUUCACUAUGGUUCCCCUCACACUGAAGUGGUCAUGUGUCACAAACUCAACAGAUUUUUGCAUAUAUGGCUACAAAAGAAACCUCUUCACGCAUACCAUUUAAUAUAAGAAGGUAUAAUUUAAUUAGCUUUAUUUUGAAUCCGGAUUACUCCUCAUGCCACAAAGACACAGGACAGUGUCCAUGAAACCACUGAUCAUCCUAGACACUAGUCAAAACACAAGGCCAAACUGUAACACUUUUCAGGCCUACAUGAUAGCUUUCUCACAUGAUGCUGCAGUAUACGGCAGGAUCUCUAGUAAAGUUCAAUGGACAAUGUGGAAAUAAGGUAGGACUAUACAUUAACAGUAAGGAACAUGUGUAAAUAAGAGAAAAAGCAGAAUGUGAAAAAAAUUUACACAUACUAUGACUUCACUAAAACAUGUAUGUACAGACACCACAUACUCAAUGAAAAUAUGACCAGACAUUAGGGUAGUAGAAAAUGGGUACAUUCUUUGUGUUUUCUUUUUUAAAAAACAAAGAUUGUUUAAUUUAAAAACAAUGGUUCUGAAAGUGUUAUCUUCAGAUCAUUAAUAAUACUGUUAAACAUUAGUGUCACCAUCAUGUGGCAAUUUGUUAGAAAUAUUCUGUACAAUCUGUUUUGGGGUGUGUGUGUGUGUGUGUGUGUGUGUGUGUGUGUAAGAGACAGGGUCGCCCUCUGUCACCUAGGCUGGAGUGCAGUGGUGUGAUAGUCGCUCACUGUAGCCUUGAACUCCUGUGCUCAAGCAAUUGUCCCACCUCAGCCUCCCAAGCAACUAAGACUACAGGCAUGUAUUACCAUGCCCUGAUAAUUUUUUUUUUUUUUUUUAAGAGACAAAGUCUCACUACAUUGCCUAGGCUUGUCUGGAACUCCUGGGCUCAAGCAAUCCUCCCGCCUCCACCUACCAAAGUGCUGGGAUUACAGGUGUGAGCCACCAUGCCUGGCCUGUACAGUCUGUUUUUAACAAGCCGUCUGUAAAUUCUGAUACACAAUUAAGAGUUUGAGAACCACUGAUAAAAAAAAAAAUUGCAAAGACUUUUUUUUAAGCAAAAUUAAAGUUAACAGACAUUUUUAAUCCACCAUAACCUCUCCACCAAUCUCACCUAGAAUAUCUGUAACUUAAAAACCUUUUUUACAAACUUAGAAAUUUAGUACUCAAGUUGUUAAACUUAUAAAGGCAAAUAAUUUUUUUUCAGGAACUUGCGCCAUCUACUGGUAGUUGCUAAAACUGCAACCAGAGGUGGCUUUUAAAAGGGCGGACGUUUAUGCAUCUCUAGGGUGAAACCUAUGUUUUGUUUUGUUUUGUUUUGUUUUGAGAUGGAGUCUCGCUCUGUCACCAGGCUGGAAUGCAGUGGCGCGAUCUCUGCUCACCGCAACCUCCGCCUCUUGGGUUCAAGCAAUUCUCUGCCUUAGCCUCCUGAGCAGCUGGGAUUACAGGCACCCGCCACCACACCCGGCUAAUUUUUCUAUUUUUAGUAGAGAUGAAGGGGUGAAACCUAUUUUUAAAGAAGUCAGUUUUAACAAUAAAGGGUACCACAAAACAUACACUGAAGUUACAUAUAAUCCUUCAUAAAAGAAUAUAAAUACUUCUGAAUAAAACAGAUCUCCAGAUUCAGAACUUCAAAACAAGAUCUGAUUACGGGGGAAAAAAGGUAAUGGAAAAUUCAUAGGAUAUCUCCUACAUUUAAAAAAACAACAAAGGGGACUGACCGUUGCGGUUCAUUAGGCAUACUUCUUGAAUAUAUUUUAUAUAUACAUAAAUUUUUGUUUUUUUGAGACCAAGUCUCACUCUGUUGCCUAGGCUGGAGUACAGUGGUGUGAUCUCAGCUCACUGCAACCUCUGCCUCCCAGGUUCAAGCAAUUCUCCUGCCUCAGCCUCCUGAGUAGCUGGAACUAAAGGUGUGCACCACCAUGCCUGGCUAAUUUUUGUAUUUUUAGUAGGGAGGGGGUUUCGUCAUGUUGGCCAGGCUGGUCUCCAACUCCUGACCUCAGGUGACCCGCCCACCUAGGCCUCCCAAAGUGCUGAGAUUACAGGCAUGAGCCACUGUGCCAAGCCAAAAUUUAUAGUUACUUUAUUUUUAUUUUUUGAGACGGGGUCUCACUCUCUCACCCAAGCUGGAGUGCAGUGGUGUGAACUCGGCUGCCUGCAACCUCCACCUCCCAGGCUCAAGCCAUCCUCCUGCCUCAGCCUCCUGAGUAGCUGGGACUACAGGCAUGCACCACCACACCUGGCUAAUUUUUGUAUUUUUUGUAGAGACGGGGUUUUGCCCUGUUGCCCGGGCUGGUCUCAAACUCCUGAGCGCAAGCGAUCUGCCCACCUUAGCCUCCUAAAGUGCUAGGAUUACACGCAUGAGCCACCAGCCCUGGCCUUAUGGUUACUUCUCAUUCAGUAAUUAAGUGAACAAUUUUCUAAAUUUUCUAUGAAAGUUAAUCUAAGAAGUUUUACUCAAGUAUAAGACUUAUUUCGCUCAAGUUUACUUACCAUUUAUAUUUAAUUAGGUAGUGUGUAAUAUGACAAAUUAAUAUGUAAUAGCUAUUCUUCUUUAAAAUGGUGUUUUGCCUCCAUUAUUUUAAAGUCAAGAAAGCCAAUCCACUUAAGUAUCUGAGAUCGCAACAAAAACAUAAAUGGCCACCUUAAAUUUUAUGGCCCCACAUUUUUCUUACAAUGUGAAAAAUUUUCCAAGUUCAGCCACCUUCUCCUGGUUUACUUUCUUCUAACAGCUACAUUAGAUCAAGAUGGAAGAAGCUUUUUAUCUUUGUUAAUAAAAUCUAACCUAAGAUAAUACCAUAACUGUUAUAAUUUCCUAAAGUAUGUCCUUGGUGACCAGCUUUUCUUAUGUAAGAGUUAAAAGAACUCUUCAUUAACCUUAAAGACAAAGUCCCACAACAUCAUAACCGAUACACAUUUUUUUCGCAAUGAAGAGACAAAUCACAGGUUUAAAAUGUCACUGCAAUAUGAAAGUUACUAAAUUAAGUACACUACUUUACCAGCAAGGACCAAAAUUGCUGAAUUAGGUUCUGAUAUAAGCACAAUUACUAGUGAUAAUUUUGGUGCUGAAGGGGCUAGUUACAGAGGUAAACUGUCCAAGAACAAUGACAAUAAAAUAAAAGUAACUACAGAGAUGAGGUGUGAGAAGGGUGGGACUUACCAUCUAAUUUAGAGAGUAAGGGAAAAUUACCAUUUCUUGAACAUAUUCAAACCAAGUACUUUACAAACUUUAUUAUUUAAUUAAAACACACACCAAUGCUUUACGUAUUAUUUUCCCCAACUUUAUGAAAAUACAAAUAUUCAUAUUCAAAGCACACGAGCACUGAUGUCCAACUUCAAUGGAAUCAAAGUGUACCAGCCUAGGCAAACCUGGAUGUUGACUCAUUGAACGUCUUCACUUAAGAGCCUGACACUCACAAACUAAUGGCUAAAAAACAAGUACUUUCUAACAGUGAAUAUGGAAGUCCCAAAUCAAUGUACACCUCUUCUUAGAGCCUUCAAACAUUUUGGGGCUGGGUGCAGUGGCUCAUGCCUAUAAUAAUCCCACAGCACUUUCGGGGGCUGAGGCAGGCAGAUCACUUAAGCCCAGGAGCCCAAGACCAGCCUGGGCAACAUGGUAAAACCCCAUCUCUACAAAAAAAUACAACAAAAGUUAGCUGGGUGUAGUGGCCCGUGCCUGGAGUCCCAGCUACUUGGGAGGCUAAGGCAGGAGAAUCGCUUGAGCCCAGGAGGUGGAGAUUGCAGUGAACCAAGAUUGCGCCAUUGUGCUCCAGCCUGGGCAACGGGAGUGAAACUCUUAUCUUAAAAAAAACAAACAAACAAAAAAAAAAAACAAAAAAAAACUGGCAGGGCGCGGUGGCUCAAGCCUGUAAUCCCAGCACUUUGGGAGGCCGAGGCGGGUGGAUCAUGAGGUCAGGAGAUCGAGACCAUCCUGGCUAACACGGUGAAACCCCAUCUCUACUAAAAAAUACAAAAAAACUUAGCCAGGUAUGGUGGCGGGCGCCUGUAGUCCCAGCUACUCCGGAGGCUGAAGCAGGAGAAUGGCGUGAACCCGGGAGGUGGAGCUUGCAGUGAGCCGAGAUCACACCACUGCACUCCAGCCUGGGGGACAGAGCGAGACUCCGUCUCAAAAAAAAAAAAAACAAAACUGAUUUCCUUUUUUGGCCAGGGAAGUGGGGAGACAGGGUCUCGCUGUGUUACCCAGGCUGGAGUGCAGUGAUGCAGUCUAAGUUCACUGCAGCCUUCAACCUUCCAGGCUCAAGUGGUUCUCCCACCUCAGCCUUCCAAGUAUCUAGAAUGCGCCACUGUACUUGGCUGAUUUUUGUAUUUUUUUGUAGAGACACUGCCUCACUACAUUGCCCAGGCUGAGCUCAAGCAAUCCUCCUGCCUUGGACUCCCAAAGUGCUGGGAUAAAAGACGUGAGCCACCACGGUGGCCUGGCACAUUUUGGUUUCAUGUUUGACUUUUUUUUUUUUUUUUGAGACGGAGUCUCGCUCUGUCACCCAGGCUGGAAUGCAAUGGUGCGAUCUCAGCUCACUGCAACUGCCCCCUCCCGGGUUCAAGCGAUUCUCCUGCCUCAGCCUCCCAAGUAGCUGGGAUUAUUCCACCACGCCCAGCUAACUUUUUUUUGUAUUUUUAGUAGAUUUAGGGUUUCACCAUGUUGGUCAGGCUGGUCAUGAACUCCUGACCUCAGGUAAUCUACCCACCUCGGCCUCCCCAAGGGUUGGUAUUACAGGCGUGAGCCACCACACCCGGCCACGUAUGACAUUUUAAAAAGUAUACAGACUGUUACCUUUAGUUGAACAAAAAUUAAACCAAAUUAAACUAAUUUUACUAAUUAUCUUUUGGAAUAAAUACAGAUUUUUAUCCUUCAAGAAAACCUGUUUUUCCUCACUAAAUCAGCAAAAUAAAAGACAAACAUAUGUAACACAUAGCACACAUAAGAAAAAAAAAGAAAGGACCAGGCACAGUGGCUCGUGCCCAUAAUCCCAGCACUUUGGGAUGCCUAAGUGAGAGGAUCACUUAGGCCAUGAGUUUGAGACCAGCCUGGGCAACACAGCAAGAUCCAUCUUUACAAAAUAAACAACUUAGCCAGGCAUGGUGGUACAUGCCUGUAGUCCCAGCUACUUGGGAGGCUGAGGUAGUAGGAUCACUUGAGCCCAAGGGUUUGAUGCUACAAUGAGUUACAAUCUCACCACUACACUCCAGCCUGGGUGAUAGAGCAAGACCCAGUCUCUAAACAAAGAUUUAAAAAAGAAAAAGAAAAAAAAAUUAGAAAAAAGACCAAAUUAAACCUAAAACAAGCAAAAGGACACAAUAAAGUGAAAAUUAAUGAAAUAGAGGAGGAAAGUCAACAAACCCAAAACCUGGCUCUUUAGAUCAAGAAAAUUGGCAAACCUUUAGCUAGACUGACAAAGUAAAAAAUAGAGAACACUCAAAAUAUUAAAACCAAAAACAGUAAGAGGGGAUAUUACCACUGACUUUAUAGAAAUAACAGACUAUGACACGCAUAUGCCAAUGCUGUAUAACAUAGACGAAAUAGACAAAUAUCUAAAACCAUGAAUUUCCAAAAGCCAGUCAAGAAGAAAUAGAAAAUCUGAAUAAACCAGUAAUGAAGAGUUUGAAUACAUAAUAAAAAACUACCCACAAAGAAAAGUCCAGGCCCAUAUGACUUCACUGGUAAAUGGUAAGUUCUACCACACAUUUAAAGAAAUAAUAAUACCAAUUCUUCACAAACUCUUCCCGCCCCCCCAAAAAAAGAGGAGAGAACAUUUCCCAAUUCAUUAUGAGGCCAGUAUCACCCUGAUAGCAAAAUCUGAUAAAGACAUGAAAAGAAAACUAGACCUUUAUCUCUUAGGAAUAUAAAUGCAAUAUCCUAAACAAAACACUAGCAAAUCGAACCCAUCAAUAUGGAAAAAGAAUUACCCACCAUGACCAAGUAGGCUUUCACCCAGCAAUGCAAGACUGGUUUAACAUCAGCCAGGAGUGGUGGCUCACACCUGUAAUCCCAGCACUUUGAAAGGUGGGUGCAUCACCUGAGGUCAGGAGUUCAAGACCAGCCUGUGCAACAUAGUGAAAUCCCGUUUCUACUAAAAAAUAGAAGAACUGGCUGGGUAUGGUGGUGCACGCCGGUAGUCCCAGCUACUUGGGAGACCGAGGCAGGAGAAUAGCUUGAACCCGCGAGGUGGAGGUUGCAGUGAGCCGAGAUUGUGCCACUGCACUCCAGCCCGGGUGACAGAGUGAGAUUGCAUCUUGAAAAAAAAAAUAAAAAUUGGUUUAACAUCUGAAAUCAAUUAAUGUAAAUAUACCAUAUAUCAAUAGAUUUUUUUUAAAAAAAAACCUACAUAAUCAUCUUAACACAGAAAAAGCAUGUGACAGAACUCAGUAACAGACUUUCGUGAUAAAAAUGCACAAUAAACUAGGAGUUGAAGGGAACUUCCUUGACAUUACAAAGGACAUAUAUGAAAAACCCACAGCUAACACAGUACUUAAUGGUGAAAAAUCUAGAUGCUUUUCCUCUAAGAGCAGGAACAAGACAAAGAACUCUCACCACUUCCAGUCAAUAUUGUACUGAAGGUACCCAGGGCAAUUAGUCAAGAAAAUGAAAUAAAAAGGGUAUGGAUUGGAAAGAAAGAAGUAAAACGAUCUAUUUGCAGAUGACAUGAUGUUGCACAUAGAAAAUCCUAAGGAAUCUAUUAAAACAUCUAUAGCAACGAAUAAACAAGUUCAGCAAGGUUUCAGAAGACAAAAUCAACAUACAAAAAUCAACUGUAUUUCCAUAUACUAGCAAAGAAUAAUCCAAAAAUGAAAUUAUAAAAACAAUUUCAUCUAGACUACCAUCAAAAAGAAUGGCAUGCUUAGGAACAAAUUUAACAUAAGAUGCACAAGACUUGUACAAUAAUUACAAAACAUUGGUUGAAAGAAAUCAAAGACCUAAAUACAAAGAAAGACAUCCCAUGUUCGAAGAUUGACUUAAUAUUGUUAAGUUGAGGAUACUUCCAAAAUGAUCUGCAGAUUCAACAAAAUCCCUAUCAAAAUCCCAGAUGGCUGCUUUGCAGAAAUAGAAAAGCCAAUCCUAAAAUUCAAAUGGAAAUAAAAGGAACCCUGAAUAACCAAAAUAGUCUUGAAAAACAAACAUAAUAAAAAAAUAGUCUUGAAGAACAAAGUAGGAGGAGUCACACUUCCUGAUUUCUUUUUUUGUUUUUGUUUUUGUUUUUUUUUUUUUGAGACGGAGUCUCGCUCUGUCGCCACGCUGGAGUGUAGUGGCUCAAUCUCGGCUCACUGCAAACUCCGCCUCCUGGGUUCAAGUGAUUCUCCUGCCUCAGCCUCCCGAGCAGCUGGGAGUGUAGAUGCCUGCCACCACGCCAGCUAAUUUUUGUAUUUUUAGUAGAGAUGGGGUUUCACCAUGUUGGCCAGGAUGGUCUUGAUCUCUUGACCUCGUGAUCCACCCACCUCAGCCUCCCAAAGUGCUGGGAUUACAGGCGUGAGCCACCGCGCCCGGCUCACACUUCCUAAUUUCAAAACUUACCACACUGCUACAGUAAGCAAGACAGUAUGGCACUGGCACAGAUGGACUUUUAGCUUUUCUUGUAUACUGAUGUUUAACAUGUUAAAGAACCUUUCUAGCUAUUUGAGAAACUGUCCCUCCAAGGUCUAGCCAAUUCUUAAAGAUAACAAAGGGCCCAGCUAGGAGUAUGUCUUUAAUAUGCAAGCUAUUCAAAAUCCAGAGCCAUAUCUCCUCUAUCUGGCCCUUAUACCCCAAGAGGCACUACUCCUCUACCUAAUCAUCCCAGAGCCAGGUGCCAGGCAACGAGACCACCCCGCCAGUCUAAAGUAUGCCAAAAUUAUUCAAACUAAACUGUUCGCCCUGCCCUACCCUAAGGAAACCUCGAUGAAGGCAGUAGCCUAAUCCUUCCCCUCCCUCCUAACCACCCUAGCGUCUUCCCCAAGUGGCCCAGCAUGGCAUGGCACAGCAUGCCUCGUCUCUAGGACCUGUGUGAUAAACUGUGUUUUUUCCUGAGCCUCUCCAGUGUCUCCUAUUGUGGCUGCACCUGAAUAACAAUCUCAUAAAAGAAUAAUAGAAAACAAUAAAGACAGUCAUACACAUCAGUGGAACAGACUUGAGAGUCCAGAGGUGAACCCUCGCAUUUAUGGUUAAUCUUUUUUAGACAAGGCUGCCAAGAUCGUUCAACAGGGAAAGAAGAGUCUCUUCAACGAAUGGUGCUGGAAAACUGGAUAGUCACACACAAAAGAAUGAAUCUGGACUCCUACCACACCAUAUACAAAAUGAACUCAGAGUGAAUGCCUCAAUGCAAACUCUUACAAGUAAACAUGUUUAUAAAUCUUCAUGACGUUGGACUUGGAAAUGGUUUUUAGAUAAGACCAGAAAGCAUGAGUAACAAAAGGAAAAAAAAGAUAAGCUGGACUUCAUCCAAAUUAAAAAUUUUUAGUGCAUCAAAUGACACCAUUAAGAAAAUGAAAAGACAACCCGUAGCAGAACAGAAAAUAUUUUCACAUAAUGUAUCUGAUGAGAGACUUGUAUCUAGAAUAUAUUUUUAAAACUUCUGGCCCGGCGUGCUGGCUCACGCCUGUAAUCCCAACACUUUGGAAGGGUGAGGCGAACAGAUUGCUUGAGUCCAGGAAUUUAAGACCAGCCUGGGCAAAUGGUGAAACCCUGUCUCUAUAAAAAAUGAGCCAGGCACGGUAGCGCAUGCCUGUAGUCCCAGAUACUCAGGAAGUGGAGGUGGGAGGAUCACCUGAGCCCAGGAGGUCAAGGUUGCAGUGAGGUGAGAUCGCACCACUGUACUCCAGCCUGGGUGACAAGAGUGAGACCUUGCCUCAAAAACACAAACAACGAAAAAACCUAAAAAAACCCCACAAAAACAAAACUUCCUUAAACUGAACAAUAAAAAGAGAAAUAACCCAAUCUAAAAAUGGGCAAAGAAAAUUAAUGACAUUUCCCCAAAGAACAUAUACAAAGGCCAAUAAGCACAUAAAAGAUAAUACCAACGGUAAUCAGGAAAUGCAAAGCAAAACCUCAAGAAAUUACCAUUUCACACCCACUAUGAUGGCUAUCAUCAAUAAUAACAAGUGUUAAUGAGGAUGUGCAGAAAUCAGAACCCUCAUAUACUGCUUGUGAGAAUGUAAAAUGGUGGAGGAACUUUGGAAAAAGAGUCUGACAGUUCCUUAAAAGUUUAAACAUAGAGUUACCAUUUGACUCAGCAAUUCCAUUCCCAGAUACACACCUAAGAGAAAUGGAAGCAUGUCUACACAAAAACUUGUACACCAAAGUUCACAGCAGCAUUAUUCAAAAUAACCAAAAGGUAGAAACAAUCAAUGUGGUAUAUCCAUAAAAUGGAAUGUUACAUGGUCAUAAAAGGGAAUGAAGUACUGAUUCAUGCUACAAUUGCGGAUAAAAAUAUUAAGUAAAAGAAGCCAGACCCAAAAAGACUAUAUAUUAGAUAAGUCCAUUUAUAUAAAAGGUCCAGACUGGGAAAUCCAUAGACAGAAAGUAGGCUAAUGGUUGCCUAUAGCUGAGAGGGACGUGAAGGUUGUGAGAGAAUUACAGCUAAAGGAUAUGGAGUCUCUUUGGGGGAUGACAAAACAUUACAUUGCAGUGAUGAUUGCACAACUCUGUGAAUAUACAUUGAACUGUAUACUUUUAAUAGGUAAAUUUUAUGAUAUAUUAAUUAUAUCUCAAUAAAGCUGUUACCAAAACAAAAAUAGGUGGGGAAGCUACUGACAUCUCGAUGGUAGAGGCCAGGGAGUUUGCUAAACAUCCUACAAUGCAUAGGACAGCCCUACAUUACAAAGAAUUAUCUAGCCCAACACGUCAACAGUAGAAUCCUUUGUUAGGAAGGCUGUCCUGUACCUUGUGGAAUGUUUAGCAGCAUCCCUGGCCUCCACACACUGGAUGCCAGUAGCACACCUCACCUCACUGCAGCGACAAUCAAAAACCUCUCCAGACAUCGUAAAAUGUCCCAAGGGGAAAAAAUCCACUCCCCAACACCCUCAUUAAGAAGUACUGCUCUAAAGAGGACUUUCCAAGAUGGUUUUAAAACAACAGAUGAACUUCCACAACAGAAAUAAAAAUCACCAAAUCUGGUUCCACUAAAUUUUUAACAUUUCCAUGUGAAAACAAAAACAGAAAAACAAACACAAGACAGGAAAUAUUUCAGGCACACUGCUAGUGGCAAUACAAAUUGAUGUUUACAACCUUGUGAAAAACGAAUUUAUCUGUGUUUAUCAAGAACCACAAAAAUGUUCAUAUCCUUUACCCACUGAAUGACUCUGAGAGAAGAAAAUAUGAGAAGAAAAUAAUCCUAAGCAAAGCUAGUAUAAAGAUAUUUAAUAAUAACUUGAAAAACCAAACAAUGGAGGGAUGGUUCUAAAAGGUUAUGUAAUAACUAAAAAGGAUAAUGAAGAUUAUAUAACAACACAGUAAAAGCUUAUGAAACUGCUGGGGCAGGGAGGUGGGUGUAGGUUCACACCUACAAUCUCAGCACUUUGGGAGGCCAAGGCAGGCAAAUCUCUCGAGUCCAAGAUUUUGAGACCAGCCUGGGCAACAGUGAGACCCCACCUCUAUAAAAAAAAUUUCUAGGCCGGGUGCAGUGGCUCACGCCUGUAAUCCUAGCACUUUGGGAGGCCAAGGCGGGCAGACUGCCUGAGCUCAGGAGUUCGAGACCAGCCUGGGCAACAUGGUAAAACCCCGUCUCUACUAAAAUACAAAAAAAUAAAAUAAAAUUAGCCGGGUGUGGCGGUGUGCGCCUGUAGUCCCAGCUACUCGGGAGGCUGAGGCAGGAGAAUCACUUGAACCCAGAGGUGGAGGCUGCAGUGAGCCGAGAUGGUGCCACUGCACUCCAGCCUGGUGACAGAGCGAGACUCCAAACAAAAAAACCAAAAACAAAAACAAAUUUUUAAAAAGAAACUGCUAGGGGGAAAACAAAGAACAAAAUUUAUGGUCA
RNAcentral lists this long non-coding RNA (13511 nucleotides) under Homo sapiens (human). The record is from RNAcentral. Lineage: Eukaryota; Metazoa; Chordata; Mammalia; Primates; Hominidae.